UUCCUACGGGGCGCAGCAGUGGGGAAUAUUGCACAAUGGGGGAAACCCUGAUGCAGCAACGCCGCGUGAGUGAAGAAGUAUUUCGGUAUGUAAAGCUCUAUCAGCAGGGAAGAAGAAAGACGGUACCUGACUAAGAAGCCCCGGCUAACUACGUGCCAGCAGCCGCGGUAAUACGUAGGGGGCAAGCGUUAUCCGGAUUUACUGGGUGUAAAGGGAGCGUAGACGGCAUAGCAAGUCUGAAGUGAAAGCCCGUGGCUCAACCGCGGAACUGCAUUGGGAACUACCGGGCUGGAGUGCCGGAGAGG
This 305-nucleotide ribosomal RNA is filed under the name uncultured bacterium. RNAcentral describes it as "bacterial SSU rRNA". It matches the Rfam family "Bacterial small subunit ribosomal RNA", at positions 336 to 657 of the family's 1533-position model. The record is from RNAcentral.